Long non-coding RNA from Meleagris gallopavo (turkey), 6391 nucleotides. RefSeq lists it as uncharacterized. Lineage: Eukaryota; Metazoa; Chordata; Aves; Galliformes; Phasianidae. The record is from RefSeq and is a predicted model, not a curated record.
AUGUUCAGACCCCACAGACCACAUCUGGGAGUUGCCUGGCAGUGCUCGCUGGCACAGACCAAAAGCACAUCUAGAAGCCCUGUUGCAGAGGAGCUGUAUAGCAUUCCAGUGCUUGGGACUGCUCCUGGACACUGAUUUACUAGUGGUGGACUCCAGCAAGCUUCUUAACUCCAGGAUCUGGAUAUACAUCCUCUUGCCUUGCAGCCUCAUUCUGAUGUGAGAGAAAGCCAACCUCAUGCCUUCAUUGCUCUGAGACUGAGACUGGGAUACACAAGGGACAAGGGUGACUAUCCAGAUAACUGUGGGACAAGCUCUGUGGCACAUAUUUCCCUGCUGAUUCACGCUCAUCUUAAUACAAUAAGUCAUUUCCUCAUUUUAUGAGUGUACUAGAACGUGGUCCUAACUAUUAUUUAUGUUACUAGGACUCGAUCUGUAUCUAUUUUACUUCUGUCCCAUUUCUGUGGAUAUGUUUGCCCUUGAAUUCUUUCCAGAGCACUAGCUAAGCAUGAAUUGUUCUGUAAUUAAACCAAACAACUUAAGCUCACAGGAAUUACUGAACGUGAGUGUGACCUCUGUAGAAGCUUGGAAAUACUUUAUCAGCAUGUCAGAAUAAUUUCACAGCUUAGAAUAAACUUGAGUCUUUCUAAAGUGCUGUAUAUUACUGGGAGCUUCACUAUCUUACUUGCAUUGAACUUUCUUAGAAAUAUCCUGUGUUGAUACAGAGAAGACUGUAUUGCUAACUGCACACAGGGUAAACAAGUGAGAGUUAUGUCUUAAGAACAACCAACAUGACUCCUGCUAAGGUUGGGUGCUACAGAGUUCAUCAGAAUUAUUCAAAUGAUGCUCUGGCUGGUCAUCAGAACCCAUGAUACCCUCACUCAAAUGUAUGUAAGAGCAGUAGCUGAUGGGUGUGGUGGACACAUGGAUUGUGACACUGCUGAGGAGGAGCUAGCUGAAGGUACAUCCCUGGGAGGAUGCACUUCAUACCAAAUAAGUUGAAAUGUACCACAUCUGAACUGACUCUUCAUCAGCUAAGAGGAGUUUGCAGUUGCUGCUGUACAGAGCACUUUUCCAUUUGGCAUCUUCUUCAGUUGUGACUGUGUGACAAAGAAUAUACAUUUUGCCAACCUUGUAAUCCAAGAUGCCUACUUUCUAACCAAACAGGGAAUGGCUGGGUAAUUUAUUCAUUUUCUGAGAGAUGGGAAAAGCAGAAUACUAGGAAAAUAAUACUAGGAAAGGAAUAUUAGGAACAGACAGCACAGAGUUUUGAAUUACUAGUGAACAUUGAUACUUUUCUUUCCAAGAGAUCUAUAUCAUAUUGUUUUAUUAGAGAACAUAAAUAAAAGCAAAGUGCCACUUCCCUUACGCAAGCUAUGCUCUUAGAUGUCAUUUCAUGGCAUAUCUGGUGGGCUUAUGUCUCUUAAGUAAAGAUUUUGAGGAGUAUGAUUUGAAUAAAAUCAACCAUUUUCUAAAGGCAUUGGAGUUCUACUGGAAUUCCUUUGAAAUGUUUUGAAUAAUUAGUGAUUGAAGACCCUCUCAAAGUGUCCAUUGAAUGAUCUCAUAAUUCCCUACAAAGUUUAUCAAACAGUUCACUUUUUCACAAGGAGUUGCCAUCCCAGACUUUACUUAGCAAAACCGUUCUCUGCAAACACCUGCCAACAUUACAAUUAGAAAAAUGUGGGGACACUACUUUCACACUUAUUUAUUUUAUUUAUUCGUUAAUUUAUAACAUCUUUUGUUAUUGUUUUCAAAUCUAAGCAGAGUUACGAAUAACACUGCUGUGGAGAUUUAAACAAGUGACUGACAAAACGCAAAACUUCCUGAAUGCCUGAACCAACUGUAAUGGAAAAGUGAGCUAUAAAAAACCUCCCUAGUACUUUUGCUAAUAAUAAUUUUUUGAGGUAAUGUCUUCGUUGUGUAUAGGAGCCAUAGACUAACAACACACUGGGGGGAAUGCUGUUUGGUGAGAUCAAAAAGGGGUUACGCUCCCACAGAUUUAUAGUUUCUUUAAAUUAUGAUGGCAGAGGCUGGAUACCAGCAGAAGAUAUGUUACAGGUACUUUCAGCACUCUUAGUGGUGUCAGUGCUCCAGUAGGUCAGCUUUUGUCAAGAUUUUUCCGGGCAUCUUGUCAAGAGAGAGAUUUUAAUGGGGAUUCAGAGGAAACCAAAGGAAAAAGCUUUGGUUUUGAGAUCAUAUCUGAAAGUUCAAUUAUGUGGAAUAAUGUGAAGGCAGAUAGGUGGAAAUGAAUGUAGGUGAAAUAGUAGGGGAGAUAGAAACUAGUUAAUAAGGACCUUUAAGGCAAAAAAGCUUUUCUCUGAUAUGAAAGAGUAAAGAAACGCAGGAUCGAGGUGACAGUAGUCAAAGUGUUGGAUUAGGAAAAUGAUCAUUGUAGUAACUUUCUGAAUUGCUAGAAGGUGAGCUCUAUUAAUAAAAGUCCAGGAAAUAAAUGGACAAAUAAAGAGGCAUAGCUGAGCAGCACAUCCAUCUGAUAGAGGAGCUUUUCACAUUUUCCUUCAGAAGUGAGAGAGGCUUCAUACCAAGGAACCACUGUGUAUCCUGUGCAACUGGAGAAAUGGAAGGCUAUUCAGUUGAGAGAAGCACUUCUCUAAUGGACUAAUUAUAAAAUGAGCCUGCUUCUUCUGUUGAAUCUGGGAAAUGCUAGGAAAAUAUUCAUUUGUAUUAUGUCUUCCCUUACUAGAGGGGAUGAGAGUUCAGGAAAGCAGGUGGUGACAGAGGUGUGGCAGACGCCUCUCCCCAGAGUGUCUGAAGUGGACAGAGACUACCUCAGCUUGUGGGAUUCCCCAGCAGUGAAUCCCUCUGCCUGCAUACGUUCACUUUAUACACUUCAAGAUGAAUUAAACAAACCACACAAGUUGGCUCUGAGAUGCUAUAAUUUUGAACAAUCUGUACAGAAGAAAAAUGUUUAGAAGACACAAACCUCACAAUCAUCCUUGACUUUUGAUUUUCCUUUCCCCAGGCUGAAUCCGUUAAGUAUUUUGAACCAUAACCCAAGGAAAGUCUUAACUCCGUGGUACUGACUGCUACCAAUUCAUACAAUCCAAUUCCAUGGAUGAAAUUUUCAAAAGUACUCUCAAGUGGCCUGGGGGAGAAUCCCAUUUUCCUUGUCUAAUUCAGCAGUGUGGAAUUUUCCUUUCCACACUUCUGUUAAUGGCAGACUAGUAACAGAUAAAUGAUGCCACUACAAUUUGAAAAGCAUAUAUUUAAAUAUAAUGCAGCCUUCUUACAAAUCAUGAAAUGGACAGCCUGGAGCCAUCUGACACUCCACCCCUAAAAGAACAUUUGUUAGGACAAUGUUGUUCUUUCUCUAAAAGUACUGCUGUCUAACUACAGCCAUCACAGACAGCCCCUUCUCAACCUGACCAUUACUCAUCUUUCAAAGCACAUAUGAAAAAAUAAAUGCUGUUGCCAGUGCAAGCCAAAAUAUUAACAAUUACAUCCUAAAAUAUCUCCCUGUGCCCAUUUGUAUGAGUAUGGGCAAUAGUUAAAACUACUAGUAGUUCUCUACAGCCUCUCUGGGCAGCCUGUUCCAGCACCUCACCACUCUCUUGGUAAAAACUUCCCCAGCAUCUAAUCUAAUUCUUCUCUAAUAUGAAUGGAAGCAAUGACAAGAUAUCCCAAGAAGAUUAUAUUCUGUGGACAUAAAGUAGAUUAAAUUUUACUUCACUGAGUAAGAUUAUUAUAUAUUAUUAUUAUAUAUAUUAUAGUUGGACAUAUGUGACAUGUAAUUCUUUUUGCAGGGCCUUUCGAAAGAAAGGAUAUGCUUUCACUGUGCAGUAAAAUCUGCUUUCAAAACUCAUUCAGCUGUGUUAACCCACAGGGUAAGGAAAAUGUACCUCCUUCUUGGGGUGCUGUUGCAGACUGCAGUAAAUCUUCAGGGAAGAUCUUAAACUUGAUUUUGGAAAGUAGUUAACAAACUUGUGCUAAGUGUCCAACAGAAUAGGCAGCCAUUUUUAUUUACCAUGCAGUAUAUUUUCCCUCCAUGGUAUGUUGUAAUAAAAAUUUUUUGCUAUAUGUCAAAGUGAAUCUAAUCUUUCAGACCAUUUUUAAUUUUUCCAAAGAAAGGCUUUUUCUUUCUAGGAAAUAACUUUCUCCUCCUGACAGUGUAAUUUCCAUUUCUCAAUAAAGGAAAUUGCAGUAUUAUAAAGAAAAACAGCAGUAAUCAAAUAUAUGAAGACACAAGUGCACUAGUAUAUUCUCAAUACUAGAAGCAUUGAGAAAGAAAUAGAGCAGUAGUCAAAGAAGUCUGCACUUCAUUCAGUGAAUGAGAAACCUCUAUUUAGCCUGUGGCUUUUUGACAGUAUUUGAUUGUGGGCCCGUUUCUCACUGAGAAGUUGACACAAACACAUUUUCAUAUCUAGACGGUUUUCUUGACGUUUCUGUACUGCCAUCCUUACUCUCUUGAUGAAAAUGGUCAGAUUUUCCUUUUGUGUCUAGGAUUAGUAAGACACACUGUUAUACUCUGUCUGCAGGUAACUUUCCCUUAAAAACAAAGAUUAGGAAUAAUAGAGGAUCUUCCAGGAAUGUCAGAGACGUUUAAAGAUUUCCUUGGAAGAGAGACACAAGGUUUAUGGUUUGAUCAGCUCCUCCUUUUCUCACAUUUACCUUUGUAUACGAAAUCUCUUUCUAAAACCCCACGAGCAGAUCCUAAACUACAUUUUUGCAACCAAGGGUUGUUGCUCUGUCUAUGGAAGGCAGUAACCUAGGCCAGCACUGUCACAGGCUUUUCAGGUUGUCAAAUCAGAGCUUUGCUUUGGCACAGGAAUACAGACAAAUAAGAGAAAGGUGCUGUCAAACAAGCAAAGGUAAUGAAACUCUACUCAAUUUUCAAAUGUUAGUAUAGACAAGUAAUAUUUUCCUCUCUUGGAUGGGAUUAUUCUGCAUUUCAGCACUUUUAGUUCCUUUUCUUCUUCGACCUUGACUGAAUAGCAACUCAACAAACACAAACCUUUGUGAAAAGAGUAUUUCAUUCUGGCUUUGAAUCAGACUUCUGCAGGAGUUUGUUUUCAUGUCUGAAGUGGAUUUCCUAUUGUUUUUGACAAGGGUGGGAACUAGAACUGGAUACUAUUGUCUGUCAGGUUUAUAUUCUGCAGCUUAACUAUUUUACUCUUUCUAACAUUUAUUCAUUUUACAAUUCAGACUGUCAGGACAAGGUAAGGAAACAUGGGUUCUACAGUCUAGAGAGUUUAUAUCUCUGACAUUUCUCUGUUAAACCUUUUGCUGUAGGGAUCUGAUGGGCAGAUUAUGUAGCAGUAUUUUUAGGAUUUACAUGGCACUUUCUGUAGGAUAGUGUUUGCCUGUACCUAAGAAAGCCACUUCUGGAAAGACAUAAACCAGGCCCCUCUUUAUCUUCAGGGUCUCAGCUUUCAUUUAAAACAAACAAAUUGAAGGACAAAUUAAAAAACAUAGAAUAAUUUGCAGACUACAAUGGUUAGCACAGCAAUGUCUAACAUUUAAACAUCCAUUUUCCCAGGGAGUGCCUUAGUUAGCAUCAUUAGUGAUCAGCCAUUGAGAAGGAACAUUCAUGCCAUGUCAUGCUAUGGCAGUUGGCUAGGAGAAAAUAUUUAUACUCACUGACUUUUUUUGUUGUUGUUGUUACUAUGGUACUGUAUCAGUUCUUUACACAUUCCCUUGGUCAGGAUGAAGGAAACUCUGUGGAUCCUUGUUUUACCUAUGUGUCAAUCAUGCAUCACAUUCUUAGGAUCAUAGGGUAUUAGAAGCUUAGAAGAGUCUUCUGGUGUGUGAGGAAACAAAUUUAGAUACACAGGAAACUACUGUCAUCCAAAGAUGCACAUACAGAACUUUGUCUGUGUCAGGGUUGUAUGGUAACUAAUUUGAGCUUUCCAGGACCACAAUUCUAGUUUUUGAUACCCAAAAUCAGUCUAAGAGCAGUCUCUCAGUUUGAGGAUAGUAGGGUCCAUCAGCAGCAGAACUUUAGAAACCUCACUGUAAUUUUUCCCUAUCCCUCUGUCAUGCUAAUGACAUCAUACUGAUGACAUGCAAUGGCAUCAGAAGUAACUUUAAGUAGUAAAUUUUUAAAAUAACUUAAAGUAACUUUAAGAAGUAAAUUUUGGACAAAUGUACAACAUGCAAAAAAGUUAUAACAAGUUUCCAUAAAAAUAUUAUUAUUUUUUUAAACUUAAAUGCAAGUGUGCCAGGCAUUCUUGUGUAGCCGUGUGCCUGCAUGAUAUCUAUCCCUUGGUAGAUAGAUUACAGUGAUAAGAAUGUAGGAACAAGGGCUGAUCACAAAAAUACACAAAAUGGUUUCAGAAGUAAAAGCAAUUUUUUUUCUGUUUUCCAGUGCCUAACAAGCAAAUAUUGUUAUCUUCUUGUUAUCCUAAAAAUGUACAGCCUACACUGCUCUUACUUUGAA